GGGGAAUAUUGCACAAUGGGCGAAAGCCUGAUGCAGCGACGCCGCGUGAGGGAUGGAGGCCUUCGGGUUGUAAACCUCUUUCGCUCAUGGUCAAGCCGCAGCUUUGGGUUGUGGUGAGGGUAGUGGGUAAAGAAGCGCCGGCUAACUACGUGCCAGCAGCCGCGGUAAUACGUAGGGCGCGAGCGUUGUCCGGAAUUAUUGGGCGUAAAGGGCUUGUAGGCGGUUGGUCGCGUCUGCCGUGAAAUCCUCUGGCUUAACUGGGGGCGUGCGGUGGGUACGGGCUGACUUGAGUGCGGUAGGGGAGACUGGAACUCCUGGUGUAGCGGUGGAAUGCGCAGAUAUCAGGAAGAACACCGGUGGCGAAGGCGGGUCUCUGGGCCGUUACUGACGCUGAGGAGCGAAAGCGUGGGGAGCGAACAGGAUUAGAUACCCUGGUAGUCCACGCUGUAAACGUUGGGCACUAGGUGUGGGGGCCACCCGUGGUUUCUGCGCCGUAGCUAACGCUUUAAGUGCCCCGCCUGGGGAGUACGGCCGCAAGGCUA
RNAcentral lists this ribosomal RNA (542 nucleotides) under uncultured bacterium. Its description in RNAcentral is "bacterial SSU rRNA". It matches the Rfam family "Bacterial small subunit ribosomal RNA", at positions 356 to 896 of the family's 1533-position model. The record is from RNAcentral.